Daphnia carinata is the source of this 1209-nucleotide long non-coding RNA. RefSeq lists it as uncharacterized. The record is from RefSeq and is a predicted model, not a curated record. The transcript has 3 exons. NCBI's taxonomy places the organism in Eukaryota, Metazoa, Arthropoda, Branchiopoda, Diplostraca, Daphniidae.
UUACAAAUUUUGAACAGAUGGUUCAUAUUUACAAGGAUAUAUUCUCUGAUAUAUAUAUAUAUGUACAGUAUUAAUGAUAAAUUUUGAUGUUCGAGUGAACUAUCCAAAGAAAAUCGUCUCGAACUGGAGGUCCUUUAAGUUCGACAGCAGUGGCCGGAACCGUACGGACCCACACGGCGACUCUAUGCUCUAAACUAAUAAAAAGAGCUUUAAGUCGGACGUUGUGAGAAUAAUCAACCGGGUCUUCUGCAGGGAUCAAUACCUGUGCAAAGGUGUUGGAUGAUCCCGGUCGACGCACGCCAUAUUGAAGCUGGACAUUGGCCCACUUCGUUCCGCAAUUCUUGACGUAGCCUUGCAAAUCCAAGCGGUAACCUCCAGAAUUGAAAAUAGUGCCAGCAUGUCCAUCGAUGGAGUGUGUUGGACGGAAGGCUUCUGUAAUAACUUGUUUGGCAAUUUUGAUCUCCUUGAGGCUAAGUUGAUACAAGUUGUCACCUCGAUCUUCGGUAACGAAGAACGUGAUGGUCGCGUCUUCACGGCGAACCUCGUAAACCAAUUUCUUUGCAGGAGCGUCUUUGUUUUUCCCAUGCUUCUUGGCAUUCGGCUGACUGUUGUUGUAAACAAAGUCACGAAACUGUUGCAGACUCGGGUCAAGAACCUCCACGGCAGUUUGUUUCGUCUUCAUGUUGAUAAACGUUAGUAAUAAACGUGCAGUCUCGAUGCACUUCUAUUGUGUGAAGGAUUUGAUGUUUUCAUCACGAAAAGAUGUAGUAUUGCCAUCACGCGCAGGAUUAUCACGAAAUUGGCAAAUAACAGACGGCCGUCUGUCGAGAGAUUCCCUUUGUUAAACGGAAUUUGAUGGGCUUUGAAUUGACAUUUUAGCAUUUUUCAGAUCGAUUUUACCUUUCUACAGUUUAAACGCGUAUUAUUCAACCGGUUUUUCAUUUUUAAAGAAAAUAGUUAUAGGUCAAUAUUCACAUCAAGUCCGUUGCGGAGGUAACGAUGUCUUACCAUUGUCUGAGGUUUGCGUGGAACAUUUCACCGGCACGACGUUAAUCAUUUGAUGUCUUGGCAGUAUAUUUUUUAAAUCUUUUUUUUUUUUUUUGAACGUCUGGACAACAUAACAUAAAUAAUUUCUCGAUCAUCGGUUGGGUUUACUUUCUCACUCCUUGCAAAUAGUGUUAUUUUAAUAUUUUUUUCCCCUCUAUUAUU